RNAcentral lists this transfer RNA (91 nucleotides) under Aureobasidium namibiae CBS 147.97. It matches the Rfam family "tRNA". From Rfam's summary of the family: Transfer RNA (tRNA) molecules are approximately 80 nucleotides in length. Their secondary structure includes four short double-helical elements and three loops (D, anti-codon, and T loops). The record is from Rfam by way of RNAcentral. Lineage: Eukaryota; Fungi; Ascomycota; Dothideomycetes; Dothideales; Saccotheciaceae.
UCUUCAUUGGUCUAGUGGUCAUGAUUUCCGCUUGUCAAGAGUAGUUUCUCGUCAAGCGCGGGAGACCAGGGUUCGAUUCCCUGAUGGAGAG